This is a long non-coding RNA of Clupea harengus (Atlantic herring), 637 nucleotides long. The record is from Ensembl. NCBI's taxonomy places the organism in Eukaryota, Metazoa, Chordata, Actinopteri, Clupeiformes, Clupeidae.
CUUGUAUUUUGAUAUAUAGCCCAGCUCAGGUCACGGGGAGACACGUCCUCCUAACCUUGUUUUGCUUCCGGGUGCCCAUCAGUUUGUAUGGUGGCGUGGGAUUGCAAAUUGCACUACUUGGACUAAUGCUGUUACCGAAGCACGAGUGGUUCAUUGUCGCGACAAAGCCGGUGUAGCGGUUGCUCUGACGCCGGGUGCUCGGUGGGAAUCAGCUGGAGCUCCGUCCAUGACUCGCUGUCCCUGAGUGUGCAGUCAUUGCAGCUCGGCACGUUGAGCUGAGGGUCAUCCACUGCCUCCACCCGGGAAGGGCUGCUGUUCUGUUUUACUGUCAAAUACAUGUUUAUAAUUGACCGGCAUGCUCAUGCUUGGUGUGUAUCUCUCUGUGAUUUCCUGCAUGCAUGGGGCUAGGCUGGGUAUGCUACCUUCCAUCUCCGCUUGCUCUGCCUGAUAUUGUUUUGUUGGUUUCUUUUGAUUUGAUGCAUGGGGCUGUGCAGUGGGCUGCUGCUUUUCCCUCUCUGCUUGGCCUGCAUGUUUUGUUGUUUUGUGCUGCUGCUAUGUUAACUAUGGUGGUGGUAAUUCUGAAUGAUUGUUAACUAGCCUAACCGUGUCUUUGCUGAAGUGCGUGCGUGUGCCUCUG